This 549-nucleotide ribosomal RNA is filed under the name Kocuria sp. sed333. Its description in RNAcentral is "bacterial SSU rRNA". It matches the Rfam family "Bacterial small subunit ribosomal RNA", at positions 85 to 646 of the family's 1533-position model. Lineage: Bacteria; Bacillati; Actinomycetota; Actinomycetes; Micrococcales; Micrococcaceae. The record is from RNAcentral.
GGGCGGAUUAGUGGCGAACGGGUGAGUAAUACGUGAGUAACCUGCCCUUGACUCUGGGAUAAGCCUGGGAAACUGGGUCUAAUACUGGAUACUACCUCUUGCCGCAUGGUGGGUGGUGGAAAGGGUUUUACUGGUUUUGGAUGGGCUCACGGCCUAUCAGCUUGUUGGUGGGGUAAUGGCUCACCAAGGCGACGACGGGUAGCCGGCCUGAGAGGGUGACCGGCCACACUGGGACUGAGACACGGCCCAGACUCCUACGGGAGGCAGCAGUGGGGAAUAUUGCACAAUGGGCGGAAGCCUGAUGCAGCGACGCCGCGUGAGGGAUGACGGCCUUCGGGUUGUAAACCUCUUUCAGUAGGGAAGAAGCGAGAGUGACGGUACCUGCAGAAGAAGCGCCGGCUAACUACGUGCCAGCAGCCGCGGUAAUACGUAGGGCGCAAGCGUUGUCCGGAAUUAUUGGGCGUAAAGAGCUCGUAGGCGGUUUGUCGCGUCUGCUGUGAAAGCCCGGGGCUCAACCCCGGGUCUGCAGUGGGUACGGGCAGACUAGAG